CCUACGGGCGGCAGCAGUGAGGAAUAUUGGGCAAUGGGCGAGAGCCUGAACCAGCCAAGUCGCGUGAGGGAGGACGGCCCUAUGGGUUGUAAACCUCUUUUGUCGGGGAGCAAAAGCCGGACGUGUCCGGCUGUGAGAGUUCCCGAAGAAAAAGCAGCGGCCAACCCCGUGCCAGCAGCCGCGGUAAUACGGAGGAUGCGAGCGUUAUCCGGAUUUAGUGGGUGUAAAGGGAGCGGUGGCGGCACGGGAAGGUUGAUGGGAAAGCCCGCGGCCCAACCGCGGGACUGCAUUGUAAACUGCCGGGCUGUAGUGCCGGAGAGGUAGGCGGAAUUCCUGGUGUAGCGGUGAAAUGCGUAGAUAUUAGGAGGAACACCAGUGGCGAAGGCGGCCUACUGGACGGUGACUGACGCUGAGGCUCGAAAGCGUGGGGAGCAAACAGGAUUAGAUACCCGUGUAGUC
Molecule: ribosomal RNA, 459 nt
Filed under: uncultured bacterium
Lineage: Bacteria
Description: partial 16S ribosomal RNA
Rfam family: Bacterial small subunit ribosomal RNA
Source: RNAcentral